This is a long non-coding RNA of Oncorhynchus tshawytscha (Chinook salmon), 831 nucleotides long. RefSeq lists it as uncharacterized. Lineage: Eukaryota; Metazoa; Chordata; Actinopteri; Salmoniformes; Salmonidae. The transcript is spliced from 2 exons. The record is from RefSeq and is a predicted model, not a curated record.
GAGAUUGAUUCCAAUGAUAUAAGAUCUGUCCAAAGUACAUGAAUAGUAUUCAAGGUGCUGACAUCCCAACAUCCUCCAGUCCAAAGUGAGAUUGAUUCCAAUGAUAUAAGAUCUGUCCAAAGUACAUGAAUAAUAUUCAAGGUGUUGACAUCCCAACAUCCUCCACUAUGAGAAUGUUCCGGAAGGUUCAUAAUUAUACACAAGAUUGAUACUGCAUAGAGGCUCUAUCCUGUAGUUAGGAUUCACCGGUGAGUUGCUGUAACUACUGGUGUGAUGACCGGUGAAGCAUUAUGGGUAGAGUUGUUAUAAAAGGUCUGAUUUUUAAUAUAACAUUUGACUUGACAUUGUGUUAAGGUACAUAUAAAUAGUAAAGACAGAUGUUCUAGCCUCUGUGUGUGUGUGUGUUGUGACUUCUGCUUUUUAAACCAUACAGGUGUCACAACGAAUGACUUCCAGGUUCACAAUCACACUUUUGUUUUUUCUCGAUGUCCCUUGAAAUACCUAUUUGAAGUCUUAUUACGGAGUCACUUAGGCUUGUGACUGUAGUACAUCCACACAGCCUUGAUUUAUACAGUUUGUGGUUCGCUGACUCUCACCCAGAUCUCAUCUGCCAUGUUUAUAUUACAUGUGUUAAUCUCUAUUCAUUUUAUUCAUACGAGCCUGACGCUGUUGUGCUACCAGACAGGAAUAGCAACACAACGAGCCGUGGCAGGGCCCAUUUUCAGUGUUCGGCUGUCAAAGCAAGUAGUCUCACCCAAGUGAGACGAUUGUUCAGCGAUGUCUGCCUAUCAUCAGAAUUCACCUCCUUGGAUUAAAAUGGAUUGAAUUGUU